RNAcentral lists this ribosomal RNA (468 nucleotides) under uncultured bacterium. Its description in RNAcentral is "partial 16S ribosomal RNA". It matches the Rfam family "Bacterial small subunit ribosomal RNA", at positions 28 to 507 of the family's 1533-position model. The record is from RNAcentral.
GACGAACGCUGGCGGCGUGCUUAACACAUGCAAGUCGAACGGAAAGGCCCUGCUUUUGUGGGGUGCUCGAGUGGCGAACGGGUGAGUAACACGUGAGUAACCUGCCCUUGACUUUGGGAUAACUUCAGGAAACUGGGGCUAAUACCGGAUAGGAGCUCCUGCUGCAUGGUGGGGGUUGGAAAGUUUCGGCGGUUGGGGAUGGACUCGCGGCUUAUCAGCUUGUUGGUGGGGUAGUGGCUUACCAAGGCUUUGACGGGUAGCCGGCCUGAGAGGGUGACCGGCCACAUUGGGACUGAGAUACGGCCCAGACUCCUACGGGAGGCAGCAGUGGGGAAUAUUGCACAAUGGGCGGAAGCCUGAUGCAGCAACGCCGCGUGCGGGAUGACGGCCUUCGGGUUGUAAACCGCUUUCGCCUGUGACGCAGCGUGAGUGACGGUAAUGGGUAAAGAAGCACCGGCUAAGUACGUG